Molecule: long non-coding RNA, 2003 nt
Filed under: Salmo salar (Atlantic salmon)
Lineage: Eukaryota; Metazoa; Chordata; Actinopteri; Salmoniformes; Salmonidae
Description: lncRNA (ENSSSAG00000113541.1)
Source: RNAcentral
CCAAAUCCCAAAGGAGAAGCUAGCUAGCAGGAAGCCCCGCUAAUGAAUUGAGGUUAGUUGGCAAAGUAACAUAUCGGAUUGUUUUUAAAAGUCAAAUUUUUAUACUGAUUGUAUUAGAUAAGUUGUAGUACUUUUAUCUAUCUCAUUUCUAUCUACUCUUAUGAAUCUGUGAGCUAGUUAACCAAUCGCCUGUACAGUAGCAGCAGCUAGUUAAGGAGUGGACCAAAGCGCAGCGUGGUAGCCUAGUGGCUAGUAACCGAAAGGUUCCUGGAUCGAAUCCCCCGAGCUGACAAGGUAAAAAUGUUGUCGUUCUGCCCUUUGAGCAAGGCACUUAACCCACUUUUCCGCGGGCGCCGAAGAUGUGGAUGUCGAUUAUGGCAUCUCCCAGCACCUCACCUCUCUGAUUCAGAGGUGGUUGGGUUAAUUGCAGAAGAUACAUUUCAGUUGAAUGCAUUCAGUUGUACAACUGACUAGGUAUCGUUCUUUCCCUUACCGAUGCUGCAGCUGUUGUUCCACUGUACUGUUUGACUGAAGCGUGCGUGUGUGUGCGUACUGCCUCCUGCUGGUGUGAUGGAGAGGUGACGUGUUAGCGUGUCCCUGAUCUAAUGACCGUACAGACAAAUCCAUCGAUCACUUGAAACCAUUCAUUCCUAUUGUGAAGACUCAAUAGCGCAUUGAAGCCAAUUUAAGUCAUUAAGAUGGCACAUACACAGCUUUGAGCUGCUUCAGUAAAUGACAUUGCAGGUUAGCUCAGUGCUGCCCCCGUCUAAAUGAGUAACUCAAGUUGAAGGUCGACCGGGAUACAUACAGGCUGUCUUUAGCAACUCAAUUAUCCUUAACUUCUUUUGUGUGGAAUUUGAAAAUAGUCUGUUCAAGAAUAUACAUCUGGCGUACUAGAAGCAGGGAUGUGACAAAUUAACCGUUUUUGCUUAUUAAUGUUUAAUCCGGAAAAUAAUAACAAAAAAAAUUAACGGAACAGAAUUAGAACCGGGAACGGAAGUGAUAUAUACUGUUCCGGAACAGAACUGUUAUUUUAAAAGCAUGGGAACCGGUUAAUAACCCACAAAAUAUGCAACAAAGUGCCUGCGCAAAACCCUUCCAUCUGUCAAUCAGAACCUUUUUCCAGUGUCUGCUUGCAAGCUGAAAGUCUUUACCUGUGUGUAUGUAGUCUACCUGAACUUUUCAAAGCGCUGGUAGUGUGUUCAGAUUUAUAACACCUGAAGCAUGCUCAGAAGAUACAAAUACAAGACUACUUACCGAGCUGGUGCAUGUGUUUACCUGGUUCUGAGCAUGUUUCAGGUGAUAGAAAUCAGAACGCACAACCAGCGCUUUGAAAAGUUAAUGUUAUUAUACUUUCCUGUGGAUAUAUUGUGUCAAAUUCCCACCGCCAAAAAAAAGGACCAACUACACGGACAACCGGUAAAGUAAAGUUAAAAUAUAAUUGUGCACGGGUUCACUUCACGCUGUUCACAGCGUGGUAGCCAAGACUUCAAAACAGCAAGGCCUCGUGUUUCAACGCUCCUAAACCCACUAUGCUGGUUACUUUCUGCAUCUAUGUUAACAAUUGUUCUUAAAAAAAACGAAAUUGUGUUCCUUAACAUUAACAUUCACACACUUCACACCCCUAAUUAGAAGCUAUUAUUGGCACCAUGAUUGUUUUCCAAACAUGUUUUUAUUUACACGAAGGUUGACUACGAAGAUUGCCAUUUUUCCAUUGAUUAUAAUUGGGGGGGGGUCCUGCUUUCUGCAAAUAAUGUAUGCAGUACUGCGGUGGGCCUUGAACUUCUGUGGCUUCAAUAAGAGGGGGCAGUCGUUCUCCCCUGUCCUGGCUGUCUUGUGUGUGUGUGUGUGUGUACUGCCCCCUGCAGGUCUAAUGGGGAGGUGACGUAUCCCUGACCAGAGGAGAGAAAAGACCCAGGACUCUUGUGUCCAGAACAGUGCCCAAUGCAGAGAGACCUAGCCCAGCCAUGACCGAAUGCUUCCUGCCCCCCAGUAGCAGCCCG